RNAcentral lists this long non-coding RNA (202 nucleotides) under Hordeum vulgare. RNAcentral's name for it is "long non-coding RNA (HVUL_LNC001792)". The record is from RNAcentral. Lineage: Eukaryota; Viridiplantae; Streptophyta; Magnoliopsida; Poales; Poaceae.
GUAGAGGUCCUCAUACGCCCGACCACUUGCUUCACUCACAGCUUGCUUUGCGACCCUCUUUGACAUCUUGUACUUCUCUAUGUUGUCUACACUCCUAUCCAAAUAUAAGCGUCUGAAGCAAUCUUUCUUCUCCUUAAUAGCUUUUUGGGCAUCAUCGUUCCACCACCAGGUAUCUUUAGCUUCUCUUCUACUUCCUCCGGAC